GAUAUUUGAGGAGAGGUUAUCCGUGCUAUGUUCGCUUCAUUCAUCAUGAAUAAUACAUGGUUAACCUCUUUUUGAAUAUC
Myotis lucifugus (little brown bat) is the source of this 80-nucleotide non-coding RNA. NCBI's taxonomy places the organism in Eukaryota, Metazoa, Chordata, Mammalia, Chiroptera, Vespertilionidae. The record is from Rfam.